RNAcentral lists this small nuclear RNA (104 nucleotides) under Catagonus wagneri (Chacoan peccary). The record is from RNAcentral. Lineage: Eukaryota; Metazoa; Chordata; Mammalia; Artiodactyla; Tayassuidae.
GUGCUUGCAGCAGCACAUAUACUAAAAAUGGAAUGACACAGAGAAGAUUAGCAUGGCCCCUGUGUAAGGAUGACAUGCAAAUUCGUGACGUGUUCCAUAUUUUU